ACGGGGUGCAGCAGGCGCGAAAACUUCACACUGUGCGAAAGCGCGAUGAGGGAAUCCCAAGUGCUUGCUUGUAAAAGUAAGCUGUUUUUAUGUAUAAAAAGCAUAGAGAGUAAGGGCUGGGUAAGACGGGUGCCAGCCGCCGCGGUAAUACCUGCAGCUCAAGUGGUGAUCACUAUUAUUGGGCCUAAAACGUUCGUAGCCGGUUUGGUAAAUGCCUGGGUAAAUUGUGUAGCUUAACUAUACGAAUUCCGGGUAGACUGCCAAACUUGAGACCGGGAGAGGCUAGAGGUACUCCUAGGGUAGAGGUGAAAUUCUGUAAUCCUAGGGGGACCACCAGUGGCGAAGGCGUCUAGCUAGAACGGGUCUGACGGUGAGGAACGAAGCCCUGGGUCGCGAACCGGAUUAGAUACCCGGGUAGUCCAGGGUGUAAACGCUGCUUGCUUGAUGUUAGUUGGGCUCCGAGCCCAAUUAGUGUCGGAGAGAAGUUGUUAAGCAAGCUGCCUGGAAGUACGUCGCAAGAC
This 521-nucleotide ribosomal RNA is filed under the name uncultured archaeon. RNAcentral describes it as "bacterial SSU rRNA". It matches the Rfam family "Archaeal small subunit ribosomal RNA", at positions 325 to 849 of the family's 1478-position model. The record is from RNAcentral.